RNAcentral lists this ribosomal RNA (505 nucleotides) under uncultured bacterium. RNAcentral describes it as "bacterial SSU rRNA". It matches the Rfam family "Bacterial small subunit ribosomal RNA", at positions 15 to 507 of the family's 1533-position model. The record is from RNAcentral.
GAUCAUGGCUCAGGAUGAACGCUAGCUACAGGCUUAACACAUGCAAGUCGCGGGGUAACAUCUGGUAGAGCUUGCUCUUCCAGGAUGACGACCGGCGCACGGGUGAGUAACGCGUAUCCAACCUGGCCCAUACCACGGGAUAGCCCGUCGAAAGGCGGAUUAAUACCGUAUGAGGUCACAUGCGGGCAUCUAAGUGUGACGAAAGGUUUAGCGGACAUGGAUGGGGAUGCGUCCGAUUAGCUUGUUGGCGGGGUAACGGCCCACCAAGGCGACGAUCGGUAGGGGUUCUGAGAGGAAGGUCCCCCACAUUGGAACUGAGACACGGUCCAAACUCCUACGGGAGGCAGCAGUGAGGAAUAUUGGUCAAUGGGCGAGAGCCUGAACCAGCCAAGUAGCGUGCAGGACGACGGCCCUAUGGGUUGUAAACUGCUUUUAUAAGGGAAUAAAGUGAGUCUCGUGAGACUUUUUGCAUGUACCUUAUGAAUAAGGACCGGCUAAUUCCGUG